GUGGGGAAUAUUGGACAAUGGGGGGAACCCUGAUCCAGCCAUGUCGCGUGUGUGAAGAAGGCCUUUUGGUUGUAAAGCACUUUAAGCGAGGAGGAGGCUACCGAGAUUAAUACUCUUGGAUAGUGGACGUUACUCGCAGAAUAAGCACCGGCUAACUCUGUGCCAGCAGCCGCGGUAAUACAGAGGGUGCAAGCGUUAAUCGGAUUUACUUGGCGUAAAGCGCGCGUAGGUGGACAAUUAAGUCAAAUGUGAAAUCCCCGAGCUUAACUUGGGAAUUGCAUUCGAUACUGGUUGGCUAGAGUAUGGGAGAGGAUGGUAGAAUUCCAGGUGUAGCGGUGAAAUGCGUAGAGAUCUGGAGGAAUACCGAUGGCGAAGGCAGCCAUCUGGCCUAAUACUGACACUGAGGUGCGAAAGCAUGGGGAGCAAACAGGAUUAGAAACCCUGGUAGUCC
This 451-nucleotide ribosomal RNA is filed under the name uncultured bacterium. Its description in RNAcentral is "partial 16S ribosomal RNA". It matches the Rfam family "Bacterial small subunit ribosomal RNA", at positions 354 to 796 of the family's 1533-position model. The record is from RNAcentral.